This 1476-nucleotide ribosomal RNA is filed under the name Pyramimonas obovata. Its description in RNAcentral is "Bacterial small subunit ribosomal RNA". It matches the Rfam family "Bacterial small subunit ribosomal RNA". The record is from RNAcentral. Lineage: Eukaryota; Viridiplantae; Chlorophyta; Pyramimonadophyceae; Pyramimonadales; Pyramimonadaceae.
GAUGAGUUUGAUCCUGGCUCAGAAUGAACGCUAGCGGUAAACUUUACACAUGCAAGUUGAACGUUCUUUUUUAAAGAAAGUAGCGAACGGGUGAGUAACGCAUGAGAACCUACCAAAAAGUUUGGUGAGAUCCCAAAUAAUCAAAAGAUAAUUUCGCUUUUUGAGGGGCUUGUGUAGGAUUAGGUAGUUGGUAGGGUAAAAGCCUACCAAGCCGAUGAUCCUUAGCUGGUCUGAGAGGAUGAUCAGCCACACUGGCACUGAGACACGGGCCAGAUUCGUUAGAAGCAGCAGUGAGGAAUCUUGGACACUGGGCGAAAGCCUGAUCCAGUUAUACCGCGUGAGGGAUGAAGACCAGUUGUGUUGUAAACCUCUUUCAUCAAGAUUAGACAAUGACAAGACUUGAAAAAGAAACUCCGGCUAACUUCCGUGCCAGCAGCCGCGGUAAUACGGGGGGAGUAAGCGUUAUUCGGAAUGACUGGGCGUAAAGGGCACGUAGGCGGUUUUUUAGGUUGAAAGUGUAAGUUCCAGGCCUUACUUGGAGAAUGUUUUCAAAACCCAAAAUCUAGAGCCUGAGUGAGGAGAGUAGAAUUUUUAGUGGAGAGGUGAAAUUUGUAGAGAUUAAAAGGAAUGCCAAGGCGAAGGCAACUCUCUGAAUCAAUGGCUGACGCUGAGGUGCGAAAGCGUAGGGAGCGAGCGGGAUUAGAGACCCCGUUAGUCUACGCAGUCAACGAUGCCGGUUCACCCUUGCGUGAAAACGCAGGGGUCUAGCUAACGCGUCAAACCGGCCGCCUGAGGACUACGGCCGCAAGGUUAAAACUCAAAGGAAUUGACGGGGGCUCGCACAAGCAGUGGAGUAUGCGCUUUAAUUCGAUACAACGCGAAAAACCUUACCAGUUCUUGACAUACCUAUGAAAUCCUUUUAAAAGAGGAUAAAUCUAAAAGCUCUGCUUUUAUGAUACGAGGUACAGGUGCUGCAUGGCUGUCGCCAGCUCGUGUCGUGAGAUGUUUGGUUCAGUCCUGAAACGAGCGAAACCCUUUUUCUGAGUCUUGAUUACUCAGAAUAGAGUCUGUGAUAAGCAGAAGGAAGGAGGACUACGUCAAGUCAUCAUGGCCCUUAUGAACUGGGCUUGACGCGUACUACAAUGGAAAGUACAAAAGGAGGCGAUAAUGAAAGUUGGAGCAAAUCCUAAAAACUUUCCUUAGUUGGGAUUGGUCUCUGAAAUUCGAGAUCAUGAACGAGGAAUUGCUAGUAAUCGUGGAUCAGCAUGCCACGGUGAAAAUGUACCCGAGCCUUGUACACCCCGCCCGUCACAUUUUGGGAAUUGAAUUUGCUUGAUGCGAAGAAGAUCUCUUUUGAAAUCUUAUGAAUAUUUUCAUAUGAUGUUUGUAGAUUUUCUUCAUAAGUGUGAAUUGAGUGACUGAAAUGAAGUCGUAACAAGGUAACCGUUGGGGAACCAGUGGUUGGAAUAACGCCUU